Molecule: ribosomal RNA, 754 nt
Filed under: uncultured bacterium
Lineage: Bacteria
Description: bacterial SSU rRNA
Rfam family: Bacterial small subunit ribosomal RNA
Source: RNAcentral
UUNUGAACUGGGUGACUAGAGUGUGUCAGAGGGAGGUAGAAUUCCACGUGUAGCAGUGAAAUGCGUAGAGAUGUGGAGGAAUACCGAUGGCGAAGGCAGCCUCCUGGGAUAACACUGACGUUCAUGCCCGAAAGCGUGGGUAGCAAACAGGAUUAGAUACCCUGGUAGUCCACGCCCUAAACGAUGUCGAUUAGCUGUUGGGCAGCAUGACUGCUUAGUAGCGAAGCUAACGCGUGAAAUCGACCGCCUGGGGAGUACGGUCGCAAGAUUAAAACUCAAAGGAAUUGACGGGGACCCGCACAAGCGGUGGAUGAUGUGGAUUAAUUCGAUGCAACGCGAAGAACCUUACCUGGUCUUGACAUGUACGGAACCCUCCAGAGACGGAGGAGUGCCUUCGGGAGCCGUAACACAGGUGCUGCAUGGCUGUCGUCAGCUCGUGUCGUGAGAUGUUGGGUUNNNNNNNNCAACGAGCGCAACCCUUGUCAUUAGUUGCCAUCAUUAAGUUGGGCACUCUAAUGAGACUGCCGGUGACAAGCCGGAGGAAGGUGGGGAUGACGUCAAGUCCUCAUGGCCCUUAUGACCAGGGCUUCACACGUCAUACAAUGGUCGGUACAGAGGGUAGCCAAGCCGCGAGGCGGAGCCAAUCUCACAAAACUGAUCGUAGUCCGGAUUGCACUCUGCAACUCGAGUGCAUGAAGUCGGAAUCGCUAGUAAUCGCAGGUCAGCAUACUGCGGUGAAUACGUUCCCGGGUCU